GUAUUGGUGGUUUACUGGUAACAUCCUUGCCUUCCAUGCUAGAGACCUGGGUUCAAUUCCUGGACAACACG
RNAcentral lists this transfer RNA (71 nucleotides) under Loxodonta africana (African savanna elephant). It matches the Rfam family "tRNA". From Rfam's summary of the family: Transfer RNA (tRNA) molecules are approximately 80 nucleotides in length. Their secondary structure includes four short double-helical elements and three loops (D, anti-codon, and T loops). Further hydrogen bonds mediate the characteristic L-shaped molecular structure. tRNAs have two regions of fundamental functional importance: the anti-codon, which is responsible for specific mRNA codon recognition, and the 3' end, to which the tRNAs corresponding amino acid is attached (by aminoacyl-tRNA synthetases). tRNAs cope with the degeneracy of the genetic code in two manners: having more than one tRNA (with a specific anti-codon) for a particular amino acid; and 'wobble' base-pairing, i.e. permitting non-standard base-pairing at the 3rd anti-codon position. The record is from Rfam by way of RNAcentral. Lineage: Eukaryota; Metazoa; Chordata; Mammalia; Proboscidea; Elephantidae.